GAUGAACGCUGGCGGCGUGCCUAAUACAUGCAAGUCGAGCGAACAGAUGAGGAGCUUGCUCCUCUGACGGUAGCGGCGGACGGGUGAGGAACACGUGGAUAACCUACCUAUAAGACUGGGAGAACUUCGGGAAACCGGAGCUAAUACCGGAUAAUAUAUUGAACCGCAUGGUUCAAUAGUGAAAGACGGUUUUGCUGUCACUUAUAGAUGGAUCCGCGCCGCAUUAGCUGGUUGGUAAGGUAACGGCUUACCAAGGCAACGAUGCGUAGCCGACCUGGGCGGGUGAUCGGCCACCCGGAAGCGAAGAUGCGCACCCGCCCCCUCCGGGAGGCACGAGCCGGAAUUCUACCGGAAGGGGCGAAGGCCUGUCGGAGCCACGCGGCGUGAGUCAGGACGGUCUUCGCCUCGUAAACCUUUAUUAUUUGGGAAGAACAAAGGUCUAACAGAUUAUGCGCUUAUUGCGGGACCCUAAUAAGAAGGCCCCGCUUACCUCGUU
This 496-nucleotide ribosomal RNA is filed under the name uncultured bacterium. Its description in RNAcentral is "partial 16S ribosomal RNA". It matches the Rfam family "Bacterial small subunit ribosomal RNA", at positions 28 to 507 of the family's 1533-position model. The record is from RNAcentral.